Diospyros lotus (date-plum) is the source of this 156-nucleotide ribosomal RNA. RefSeq annotates it as 5.8S ribosomal RNA. The transcript has a single exon. The record is from RefSeq and is a predicted model, not a curated record. NCBI's taxonomy places the organism in Eukaryota, Viridiplantae, Streptophyta, Magnoliopsida, Ericales, Ebenaceae.
GACUCUCAGUAAUGGAUAUCUCGGCUCUGUCAUCAAUGAAGAACGUAGUGAAAUUUGAUACUUGGUGUGAAUUGCAGAAUCCUGUGAACCAUCGAGUCUUUGAAUGCAAGCUGCACCCGAAGCCAUUCGGUCGAGGGCAUUUCUGCCUGGGCGUCA